CCUCAUUUUUAUUGGCAUGCAAACAUCUGAAUAAAAGUCAACCUUGUGUGCAAAUGUACUACUAAUGACAGACCGCCAGGAAUUUUAACCGGUUUAUCCCAGAGACUUCACCGAACACAUGCAAAUUAGAGUCCUGGGUAUGAAUCCUACAGAUAUACUGCCUGUUAGCAGGCUAACUACUGCCUGAUAGCAGGCUAACUACUGUCUGAUAACAAGCCAACUACUGCUUGUUAUCAGACUAAACCCUCUAACCUUGAGGCAGUCAUCUCGUUGCUGUCGUGCAGCUUUCGUUGUCAAGGUACAUUGGUAGGUAACCGUCGAUCGCGAGGUACAUUUUAUCCACACAUGUUCAUAAUAAUCCAUAAAUGUUCGUUGUAAUCCGUUAAUGUUCAAAAUUAUCCAUAAAUGUUCACAAUAUUUCCAAAAGUACACAGUGUCACAGUAAUCCUUAUUUAUCCAUUGGUAUCUGUUACGACUCCCAUUGGCCCUCCCAUCAGACACCUCAAAUGACGUUUUGGUCAGUUUUAAUUUUUUUGGUAAAUAUUUUUAAUACAAUUAUUAAUCAAUAGCAUCUGCAAGAAACACAUUAACCAGUCAAAAACCAUGAAAUUCUUGAAAGAUUAAACCUCAAAGAAUGUUUAUAUUAAAGAUAUUCAAGCCAAAAUCCCAAAGUCUACAUCAAAAUGAUAACGGGAAAACGCUGGAUAACGCCAUACAGACAAAAAGCCGGCCACAAAUCAAAGUUUGGUGGUACUUUGGCUUGAUCUUUCCAGGCCUACAGGCGAGCUGUCCCAAUCUCAUGCCACGAACAAAAAGCACAAACGCAAGGUUGGCCAGACCAACACCGCAGAAAAACGUCUGUGCAUGCACCAAAUU
This is a non-coding RNA of Paramuricea clavata, 876 nucleotides long. The record is from the annotation of a GenBank genome assembly. NCBI's taxonomy places the organism in Eukaryota, Metazoa, Cnidaria, Anthozoa, Malacalcyonacea, Plexauridae.